UGUGUUUGUGUGUGUGUGUGUGUGUGUGUGUGUGUGUGUGUGUGUGUGUGUGUGUGUGUGUGUGUGUGUGUGUGUGUGUGUGUGUGUGUGUGUGUGUCUGGUUUUGAUGAUGGGUACUGAUGGUGUUUGUUGUUGUCUCAUGUGUUUCCAUAGUUACGGACCAGUAUAUGCUGCGGACCCCUACAACCACCCACUUGCUCCAGCAGCCACAUACAGCAUUGGUGCCAUGAAUCCGUUUGCCCCGUUGGCUGAUGCCAAGACGAGGAGUCAUGCUGACGACGUGGGGCUGGUGUUGUCCUCCCUGCAGGCUAGUAUAUACAGGGGAGGCUACAGCCGCUUCGCCCCAUACUAACCCACCAACCAACCUCCCUAAAACCAUACAACAACCAAUUACUACCCUACCAACCAACCAACCUCCCCACAACCAAACAACAUCCAAUCGUUUCUGACAGGGACACAACCGAGCAACCAACCAACCUCCCCACAACCAAACAACAUCCAAUCCUUUCUGACAGGGACACAAUCGAGCAACCAACCAACCGACCAACCAACAAACAAACCACACAACCAACAAACCAGUAUGUGAGUGAGACAGACAGAGAGAGAGAGAGACAGAGAGAGAGAAAGAGAAGUAACUUUGAGGCCUGGGUAUUGCAAUAUAUGCUGUUGAUCAUGAUUUUAGCAGCUCCUAAGGGAGAGGGAAGUCAGUCAACUAAAAAGAAGGAUAUUUAUACCUCAGAUAUUGUGUGCUGUUCAUUUUGAUACAGUGGGUUUUUCAUUUGUAAAGGUUAGUAGAUUGUCCGUGUUGGUAGAGCUAUAGAAGAGCUACUAGAUUUAAAACCUUACCAUUGUAAAACAACACAUUUCAACUGUUAGGGCUUCGUGAAAAGACAAACCAAUCCUGUAAAAUACAUCGUAGAAUGUGAUCCCGUUUUGUAAGAGUGUUGACAUGAUUGUAGGGUUCGGAUUCCUUUGACAUUCUCUCUGUUAGCGUCUACGUUGUUUCCUAGCUACUGGGGUUAGGAUUAGGAACGGGGUUAAAGUUAAGGACUGGGCAAGUGUUAGGGUUAGGAUUAUGGUUAAGGUUGGGAUUAGUUUAGGUUAGGUUAGGAUUUGAAUUAAAGUUAAAGACUGGGCAAGUGUUAGAGUUAGAAUCAGGUUAGGAUUAGGGUUAAGGUUGGGAUCAGGUUAGGAUUAGGGUUAAGGUUGGGGUUAGGUUAGGAUUGGGGUUAAAGUUAAGGACUGGGCAAGUGUUAUGGUUAGGAUUAGGUUAGGAUUAAGGUUAAGGUUGGGGUUAGGUUAGGUUAGGAUUGGGGUUAAAGUUAAGGACUGGGCAAGUGUUAGGGUUAAAAUCAGGUUAGGAUUAGGGUUAAGGUUGGGGUUAGGUUAGGUUAGGAUUGGGGUUAAAAUUAAGGACUGGGCAAGUGUUUAAUGUUAGGAUUAGGGUUAAUGUUGAGAUUAGGUUAGGAUUGUGGUUAAGGUUGAGGUUAGGUUAGGGCUGAAGCUCAGGGUUAGGAUUAAGUUUAGGGUUGGGGUUGGGGAGGUGGGGGUAAAAUGGGGUACUAGAAAGGCACGAAAGGUUGCAAGAUCGAGUCCCCCUGCAGACAAGGUAAAAAUCUGUCGUUCUACCCCUGAAGAAGGCAGUUAACCCACUGUUCCUAGGCCGUCAUUGUAAAUAAGAAUUUGUUCUUAACUGACUUGCCUAGUUAAUUAAAUAAAGUUAAAAUAGAAAUUAGACCAGGUGAUGGGAAAGAAGAAGAUGGAGAGGAGGUGGGGGUAAAAUGGGGUACUAUAAACCCACAACACAGUGCUGUGUCAUUAUUAGACCAGGUGAUGGGAUAGAGAGAGAUGGAGGGGAGGUGGGGGUAAAAUGGGGUACUAUAAACCCACAACACAGUGCUGUGUCAUUAUUAGACCAGGUGAUGGGAUAGAGAGAGAUGGAGGGGAGGUGGGGGUAAAAUGGGGUACUAUAAACCUACAACACAGUGCUGUGUCAUUAUUAGACCAGGUGAUGGGAUAGAGAGAGAUGGAGGGGACGUGGGGGUAAAAUGGGGUACUAUAAACCCACAACACAGUGCUGUGUCAUUAUUAGACCAGGUGAUGGGAUAGAGAGAGAUGGAGGGGAGGUGGGGGUAAAAUGGGGUACUAUAAACCCACAACACAGUGCUGUGUCAUUAUUAGACCAGGUGAUGGGAAAGAGAGAGAUGGUGGGGGUAAAAUGGGGUACUAUAAACCCACAACACAGUGCUGUGUCAUUAUUAGACCAGGUGAUGGGAUAGAGAGAGAUGGAGGGGAGGUGGGGGUAAAAUGGGGUACUAUAUAGCUACAACACAGUGCUGUGUCAUUAUUAGACCAGGUGAUGGGAUAGAGAGAGAUGGAGAGGAGGUGGGGGUAAAAUGGGGUACUAUAUAGCUACAACACAGUGCUGUGUCAUUAUUAGACCAGGUGAUGGGAUAGAGAGAGAUGGAGGGGACGUGGGGGUAAAAUGGGGUACUAUAAACCCACAACACAGUGCUGUGUUAUUAUUAGACCAGGUGAUGGGAUAGAGAGAGAUGGUGGGGGUAAAAUGGGGUACUAUAUAGCUACAACACAGUGCUGUGUCAUUAUUAGACCAGGUGAUGGGAUAGAGAGAGAUGGUGGGGGUAAAAUGGGGUACUAUAUAGCUACAACACAGUGCUGUGUUAUUAUUAGACCAGGUGAUGGGAUAGAGAGACAUGGAGGGGAGUAGUUGUGUGUGGAUGGUGCGUGGUCGGCAGCGUGCUAAACAGCGAGGACGUUGAUGUGUGGAUUAGAUCAUGAUGGUCAUCGUUUAUCACUCAAAGCCAAAGGUUCAGAUGUUCCCGGGGUUUUCCAUCUGUCUGUGCAGUCAGAUUUUUACAGAGAAUAACUUCUUAUGGUUAUAGAGGACAGAGAGUCUGCUUCCCAAACGGACCCCUAUUCCCUAUAUAGGGCCCUAUAUAUGAUUCUGGUCAAAGUAGUGCACUAUAUAGGGAAUAGGGUGCCAUAGGGCCCUAUAUGCCUCUGGUCAAAGUAGUGCACUAUAUAGGGAAUAGGGUGCCAUAGGGCCCUAUAUGCCUCUGGUCAAAGUAGUGCACUAUAUAGGGAAUAGGGUGCCAUAGGGCCCUAUAUGCCUCUGGUCAAAGUAGUGCACUAUAUAGGGAAUAGGGUGCCAUAGGGCCCUAUAUGCCUCUGGUCAAAGUAGUGCACUAUAUAGGGAAUAGGGUGCCAUAGGGCCCUAUAUGCCUCUGGUCAAAGUAGUGCACUAUGUAGGGAAUAGGGUGCCAUAGGGCCCUGUUCAACAUAGUGCACUAUAUAGGGAAUAGGGUGCCAUAGGGCCCUAUAUGCCUCUGGUCAAAGUAGUGCACUAUAUAGGGAAUUGGGUGCCAUAGGGUCCUGUUCAAAGUAGUGCACUACGUUGAACAGGGCCCUAUGGCACCCAAUUCCCUAUAUAGUGCACUACUUUGACCAGAGGCAUAUAGGGCCCUAUAUAGGCAAUUAGGCUCGGGUCUAAAGUAGUGCACUAUGUAGGGAAUAGGGUGCCAUAGGGCCCUGUUCAACGUAGUGCACUAUAUAGGGAAUAGGGUGGCAUAGGGCCCUGUUCAAAGUAGUAAACUAUAUAUAUAGAUAUAGGAGGUUAUCCCAUAGUAAUAAUAAUGAUACUGGUACAGAUGUUGUUUUUAUAGAAAUUACAGUAUAUCCAUUGAUAUAGUUGCUGACUUUUAUAUUAUGGGAGAGAAUUUAAAAAAUAUAAAAAAAUGUCUAUAUUUA
Molecule: long non-coding RNA, 3768 nt
Organism: Oncorhynchus nerka (sockeye salmon)
Lineage: Eukaryota; Metazoa; Chordata; Actinopteri; Salmoniformes; Salmonidae
Exons: 2
Source: RefSeq, a predicted model, not a curated record